GGAUGUGAUCAUACCAGCACUAAAGCAUCGGAUCCCAUCAGAACUCUGAAGUUAAGCGUGCUUGGGCGAGAGUAGUACUAGGAUGGGUGACCUCCUGGGAAGUCCUCGUGUUUCAUUCA
This 119-nucleotide ribosomal RNA is filed under the name Hordeum vulgare subsp. vulgare (domesticated barley). Lineage: Eukaryota; Viridiplantae; Streptophyta; Magnoliopsida; Poales; Poaceae. The record is from RNAcentral.